Molecule: ribosomal RNA, 456 nt
Filed under: uncultured archaeon
Lineage: Archaea
Description: bacterial SSU rRNA
Rfam family: Archaeal small subunit ribosomal RNA
Source: RNAcentral
CGCAACGGGAGGAGCGUGCGGUUCACAUUGGAUUCAACGCCGAAAAACUCACCGGGGGCGACGGAGGGAUGAAAGCCAGGCCGAAGACCUUGCCCGAUUCUCCGAGAGGUGGUGCAUGGCCAUCGUCAGUUCGUACCGUAAGGCGUUCUGUUAAGUCAGAUAACGAACGAGACCCUCGCCCUCAGUCGCAACUCCGUGCGCGAGCACGGGGGCACACUGAGGGGAUCGCCAUCGCUAAGAUGGAGGAAGGGGAGGUCUACGGUAGGUCCGUAUGCCCCAAAUCUCCCGGGCAACACGCGCGCUACAAAGGUGGGGACAAUGGGAUCCGACCUCGAGAGAGGAAGGCAAUCCUGAAACCCCAUCGUAGUCUGGAUUGAGGGCUGUAACUCGCCCUCAUGAAAAUGGAUUCCGUAGUAAUCGCGGGUCAACAUCCCGCGGUGAAUGUGCCCCUGCUCU